Molecule: transfer RNA, 66 nt
Filed under: Paenibacillus glucanolyticus
Lineage: Bacteria; Bacillati; Bacillota; Bacilli; Caryophanales; Paenibacillaceae
Description: tRNA-Gly
Rfam family: tRNA
About the family: Transfer RNA (tRNA) molecules are approximately 80 nucleotides in length. Their secondary structure includes four short double-helical elements and three loops (D, anti-codon, and T loops).
Source: RNAcentral
GAUGAUGUACGGUACGGCCAGCCUUCCAAGCUGGUAGCGUGGGUUCGAUUCCCAUCACCCGCUCCA